UGGUGGGUUGCCUUGUCAGGUUAAUUCCGGUAACGAACGAGACCUCAGCCUGCUAAAUAGUCACGGUUGGCCUGCCAGCCGGCAGACUUCUUAGAGGGACUAUCGGCGACUAGCCGAUGGAAGUGUGAGGCAAUAACA
RNAcentral lists this ribosomal RNA (138 nucleotides) under uncultured eukaryote. RNAcentral describes it as "partial 18S ribosomal RNA". It matches the Rfam family "Eukaryotic small subunit ribosomal RNA", at positions 1299 to 1458 of the family's 1831-position model. The record is from RNAcentral.